Molecule: ribosomal RNA, 301 nt
Filed under: uncultured bacterium
Lineage: Bacteria
Description: partial 16S ribosomal RNA
Rfam family: Bacterial small subunit ribosomal RNA
Source: RNAcentral
CAGUCGCCACGGUAAUACGUAGGGUGCGAGCGUUAAUCGGAAUUACUGGGCGUAAAGCGUGCGCAGGCGGUUAUGUAAGACAGGUGUGAAAUCCCCGGGCUUAACCUGGGAACUGCGCUUGUGACUGCACAGCUAGAGUAUGGCAGAGGGGGGUGGAAUUCCACGUGUAGCAGUGAAAUGCGUAGAGAUGUGGAGGAACACCGAUGGCGAAGGCAGCCCCUGGGCCAAUACUGACGCUCAUGCACGAAAGCGUGGGGAGCAAACAGGAUUAGAUACCCCCGUAGUCCCUGUCUCUUAUACA